RNAcentral lists this ribosomal RNA (163 nucleotides) under uncultured bacterium. RNAcentral describes it as "partial 16S ribosomal RNA". It matches the Rfam family "Bacterial small subunit ribosomal RNA", at positions 1330 to 1500 of the family's 1533-position model. The record is from RNAcentral.
AUUCGCUAGUAAUCGCGCAUCAGCCAUGGCGCGGUGAAUACGUUCCCGGGCCUUGUACACACCGCCCGUCAAGCCAUGAAAGCCGGGGGUGCCUGAAGUCCGUGACCGCGAGGGUCGGCCUAGGGUAAAACUGGUGAUUGGGGCUAAGUCGUAACAAGGUAUC